CUACGGGAGGCAGCAGUUGGGAAUAUUGGACAAUGGGGGAAACCCUGAUCCAGCAAUGCCGCGUGGGUGAUGAAGGCCUUCGGGUUGUAAAGCCCUUUUGGCGGGGACGAUGAUGACGGUACCCGCAGAAUAAGCCCCGGCUAACUUCGUGCCAGCAGCCGCGGUAAUACGAAGGGGGCUAGCGUUGUUCGGAAUUACUGGGCGUAAAGGGCGCGUAGACGGUUGUGCAAGUCAGAUGUGAAAGCCCUGGGCUCAACCCAGGAUGUGCAUUUGAUACUGCACGACUAGAGUGUCGGAGAGGAUGGUGGAAUUCCCAGUGUAGAGGUGAAAUUCGUAGAUAUUGGGAAGAACACCGGUGGCGAAGGCGACCAUCUGGACGACAACUGACGCUGAGGCGCGAAAGCGUGGGGAGCAAACAGGAUUAGAAACCCUUGUAGUCC
RNAcentral lists this ribosomal RNA (440 nucleotides) under uncultured bacterium. RNAcentral's name for it is "bacterial SSU rRNA". It matches the Rfam family "Bacterial small subunit ribosomal RNA", at positions 339 to 796 of the family's 1533-position model. The record is from RNAcentral.